Heterocephalus glaber (naked mole-rat) is the source of this 1583-nucleotide long non-coding RNA. The record is from Ensembl. Lineage: Eukaryota; Metazoa; Chordata; Mammalia; Rodentia; Bathyergidae.
CUCAGGCUGACCUUGAACUCACUAUGGAGCCAGGGCUUGAGGUCAUCCUCCUGCCUCAGCCUCCCGAGUGCUGGGAUGACAGGCUUGUGCCACCCCACCUCACUGGGUUGAACUUGUCUGAGGCUUUCCUCGCAAAGCCUGGGCAUGCGUAGUCGCACAGGAACAAAGGCGGUAGCGUGUGGUGUCAGCAAACAGCCAUCCGCAGAGGGGUUUGCAGGGCCAGGGAGCAGUGGCCGGUUCUCCUGUUGUCCUGCUGUGGACCAGGUGGUGCAUGCCUGUCAUAGCAGCACUCAGGAGGCUGAAGCAGGAGGAUCGCCUCAAGUCCCGGCUCCACGGUGAGUUCUAGGGUCUCUGAAGGGACAGAGAGCUCUGGUGGCAGUGAAGCCUUCUGUCAUCCUGCCCACCAGGUCAAGCCAGGGCGCCAGACCACCAGUAGACCAUGGCUCCAACAGGCAGCUCAGGCCCUUGGAGGUCGCAAGCAGCCCAACCCUCCUCUGGGGCUACCCAACCAGCACGCCACCCCAGCUGCACUACGGGGGAGAAGGGUGGGUGACUGUUGCUGAGGAUUAAGGCCCUCUCCCCCUUCACCCAUCUUGCCAAGCCAUGACCAAGAGAUCAGGCUCCUGGGCAGUUCACCUCGGGGGGCCAUGUGGGGAUCCCCAACCUCCAUCCAGCCUCUGGUCACCGCUGGCCACCCCUGCCCAGCUGCCUGGCUCUCUCUGCUGUGACAGCGUCCUCAGCCUCAUCCUUGUGCAUAGUGACAACAUCCCUGGGUCCCAUUGUCGUCCGAGGGUCAGGCCAGGGGGAGUGUUGACCUGCACCCCUGGCUGGAUGGGCCCCCCUGGAGGACCGUCACCUUCUAACGAUGCCAUCGCCAGGGUAGGUGCCGCUGGGGACCUACCCCACGUCAUUCUCAGAUGCAAGCCACGCCACGCGCCAAUGCCAAUCCCAGCCAGUGGUCCCGGCCUCCUCAUGUGUGCAGAGCAAGCAGCCGGCUGGGAAAAAGACACCCAAGGGGCUCCCUGGGUUCCUCCAGCCGAGUUACCUAGGAUGUUCUGGUGUCAUCUUGCAAAGAGGAGAGACCGUGUCUUAGAAGCAGAGAAUCACCCUGUGAAAUGGUGGACUAGAGAUUUUGCAGGUGCAAUGAGAGGGCUCUGGGACAUUCUAGUAGCAUAUCCAGCAUUUAGUUCCUUUGGAACGCGAACCUAUGCAUAAGGCACUUUCUCCAGUGCAUCCUGUGUGAGACUCCUCUGGCUACCAGGAAGGACCCCAGACCUCCCUGCCCUGUGCUUGGCUGACAGCAGAAUGAAGGAGGUCUCCAUGUGGAGCUGUAAAGUCCAUGUGAACAUCCGUGCUGCGGUGCCCCCAGCAGCACCCGCCCCUCGUCCUGUUGGUCUGUGCCCUGGUGAGCUUUUUCUACACUCUUCCUCCACACCGCCGCUGUCGUCCCGUUCUGCAGGUGUGAAUUUUGAUGCCUCGGUGUUGUCCUGUCAUCGCUUCCGCCUCCGUGUGUGCAGGGAGGCUGUGAGGAUGGAGCUGAGACAUUACAGCUAUUCCAGACAAUAAAAUAUUUUUGAAACCGC